AGUGAACGCUGGCGGUAGGCCUAACACAUGCAAGUCGAACGGCAGCACAGUAAGAGCUUGCUCUUACGGGUGGCGAGUGGCGGACGGGUGAGGAAUUCAUCGGAAUCUACUUUUUCGUGGGGGAUAACGUAGGGAAACUUACGCUAAUACCGCAUACGACCUACGGGUGAAAGCAGGGGAUCUUCGGACCUUGCGCGAUUGAAUGAGCCGAUGUCGGAUUAGCUAGUUGGCGGGGUAAAGGCCCACCAAGGCGACGAUCCGUAGCUGGUCUGAGAGGAUGAUCAGCCACACUGGAACUGAGACACGGUCCAGACUCCUACGGGAGGCAGCAGUGGGGAAUAUUGGACAAUGGGCGCAGGCCUGAUCCAGCCAUACCGCGUGGGUGAAGAAGGCCUUCGGGUUGUAAAGCCCUUUUGUUGGGAAAGAAAAGCAGCAGGUUAAUACCCCGCUGUUCUGACGGUACCCAAAGAAUAAGCACCGGCUAACUUCGUG
RNAcentral lists this ribosomal RNA (492 nucleotides) under uncultured bacterium. Its description in RNAcentral is "partial 16S ribosomal RNA". It matches the Rfam family "Bacterial small subunit ribosomal RNA", at positions 29 to 507 of the family's 1533-position model. The record is from RNAcentral.